This 468-nucleotide ribosomal RNA is filed under the name uncultured bacterium. RNAcentral's name for it is "partial 16S ribosomal RNA". It matches the Rfam family "Bacterial small subunit ribosomal RNA", at positions 28 to 507 of the family's 1533-position model. The record is from RNAcentral.
GACGAACGCUGGCGGCGUGCUUAACACAUGCAAGUCGAACGGAAAGGCCCUGCUUUUGUGGGGUGCUCGAGUGGCGAACGGGUGAGUAACACGUGAGUAACCUGCCCUUGACUUUGGGAUAACUUCAUGAAACUGGGGCUAAUACCGGAUAGGAGCUCCUGCUGCAUGGUGGGGGUUGGAAAGUUUCGGCGGUUGGGGAUGGACUCGCGGCUUAUCAGCUUGUUGGUGGGGUAGUGGCUUACCAAGGCUUUGACGGGUAGCCGGCCUGUGAGGGUGACCGGCCAAAUUGGGACUGAGAUACGGCCCAGAAGCCAACGGGAGGCAGCAGUGGGGAAUAUUGCACAAUGGGCGGAAGCCUGAUGCAGCAACGCCGCGUGCGGGAUGACGGCCUUCGGGUUGUAAACCGCUUUCGCCUGUGACGAAGCGUGAGUGACGGUAAUGGGUAAAGAAGCACCGGCUAACUACGUG